NNNGGCUACGGCGAUAUUUACCCCACGACACCGCUGGGGAAAGUUAUAGGAAGUGUAUGUUGUAUUUGCGGUGUCUUGGUAAUCGCGUUGCCCAUUCCUAUCAUUGUCAAUAAC
Regulatory RNA element from Tribolium castaneum (red flour beetle), 114 nucleotides. It matches the Rfam family "Potassium channel RNA editing signal". Rfam says of the family: This family represents a group of sequences related to the human potassium channel Kv1.1 hairpin element which directs the efficient modification of an adenosine to inosine by an adenosine deaminase acting on RNA (ADAR). The ADAR modification causes an isoleucine/valine recoding event which lies in the ion-conducting pore of the potassium channel. It is thought that this editing event targets the process of fast inactivation and allows a more rapid recovery from inactivation at negative potentials. The record is from Rfam. Lineage: Eukaryota; Metazoa; Arthropoda; Insecta; Coleoptera; Tenebrionidae.